Molecule: ribosomal RNA, 380 nt
Filed under: uncultured bacterium
Lineage: Bacteria
Description: bacterial SSU rRNA
Rfam family: Bacterial small subunit ribosomal RNA
Source: RNAcentral
AAUGAACGCUGGCGGCGCGCCUAAUACAUGCAAGUCGAGCGAGAAGACGUAGCAAUACGUUUGUAAAGCGGCGAACGGGUGAGGAAUACAUGGGUAACCUACCCUCGAGUGGGAAUAACUAGCCGAAAGGUUAGCUAAUACCGCGUACGCUUCUUGGACUUCGGUUCAGGGAGGAAAGCGAUGCCGAGGGUAUCGCGCUCUUGGAUGGGCUCAUGUCCUAUCAGCUUGUUGGNGAGGUAACGGCUCACCAAGGCUUCGACGGGUAGCUGGUCUGAGAGGACGAUCAGCCACACUGGCACUGCGACACGGGCCAGGACUCCUACGGGAGGCAGCAGUAAGGAAUAUUGCGCAAUGGGCGAAAGCCUGACGCAGCGACGCCG